RNAcentral lists this long non-coding RNA (1317 nucleotides) under Salmo salar (Atlantic salmon). RNAcentral's name for it is "lncRNA (ENSSSAG00000110466.1)". The record is from RNAcentral. Lineage: Eukaryota; Metazoa; Chordata; Actinopteri; Salmoniformes; Salmonidae.
UGAUAGUUGCCCAUCCCUGUAUUAGGGGAAAGUCCCCUAUCUGUCAUAUAUUACAUGAAUAUGACAUAAGUAUAAAUGGUUUACUGAAUGUUGUGAGGGCAGAAUAUUUACUUGAGACAUGGUUGUGUCAUUUUAUCUUGAAACAAAUGCUUGAUUUAAUCAAAAGUUCAAGUUACAACAAGUGUGUAUCUCUCAAAUGAACAUUCAGACCUUAAAGGCUAGAGUUACAUCAGAUACAUGUAUUAGGAAGUGUUUAGGAGAAACACAAGAUGCAUUGGAAUGUUGGAAUGAAACUGUUGCCCUCUGUUUUUUUUGGUCGUUUUGAAAUGAUGUUUACUUGUAGUUUACUGUUCCUAUGUCACACAACUCAGGGAGCUAUGUGACUGAUUCUCAUGCCGGAUGUUGAACAGAAUGUUUUCUCUGUUAGAGUGUAUUUUAUCCUGUAUCCUUGUGUUGUUGUGCAGUCUGGUAUUUACACUUUGCUUGAACCGAUACUCUGCAAACUAACCAUUUAUGGCGUUGACCUGAAUCAAUUUCUGUUCAGAUACAGUAUGAAGGAUGUACAGUGUUUUGGGUUCCCACCUUUUUCCCUUUUAUGGAUCAGAGGAUGGAACUAGCAUCUAUUUAAAUGCUUGAUGCACUUCAGUGAUGUAGUAUGUAUAUUCUUUAUUCUAUACAGUGGGCUGACAAUGUCUGCUGGAUGAUCAGUCAGGAGCUACAUUAAUAGGCAUUCCACCUCACGUAGGACCUCUACUGAUGACACUGAUGCUCUAAAGAUAAACCCAUACAGUCACUAAUGAUGUCAGAACUUGGGACUUGCAAGAUGUGUCUGUGGCGUUUUCAGUGGAUUCCUAUCUGAGUUGUUUAAAAAACGUUUUUAGGGAGGUGUUGACGUCUACAACCGCGGUUUCUAAUCCAGUCAAAUCAGUAUCUAGUCAUGCAUAUAUUCCAUGUUAACUCUUACCACUGUUUACCUUUGUUAGCAUGUUUCUUUUCAAGCUGUUUCAAAGUGUUUCUGUUUUGAUUACACAAACUGUACUCAACUGCUCUAUGACUGACUCGCUCAAAACAAUACAGAAAGAGACUCAUGCAGAAUGUAAAAAAGAAUUGUAAAUACAGUACAAUGUAAAAAGACAAGUCGGAAACAAGUCUAUCCUUUGUAAUACUGUAUAUGUUGGACAUUUUUUGUAACUCCAAAAAACACUAAAUGAAUUAAACGGGAAUUCGUAAUGUUUUCAAAACGUAAAUGCAGUGUAAAAAAUUAAGGAUUGCUUUUACAAUUUAUAAAAAAUGCUGUGUGAGCCAUCAUUCCAAAGC